RNAcentral lists this long non-coding RNA (1077 nucleotides) under Salmo salar (Atlantic salmon). Its description in RNAcentral is "lncRNA (ENSSSAG00000100328.1)". The record is from RNAcentral. Lineage: Eukaryota; Metazoa; Chordata; Actinopteri; Salmoniformes; Salmonidae.
GCAAAGGAGGACACACCGACACACACACAAUGCUGUGAUAAUAACACUGUAUCCGCCUGGGUUGUUGAGGUAACAACCACACAAGUUUAUUGUGAUCCAGCUUGGAAAUCCUGUAUCUUUCGGGCAUCAUUUUUCUCCUGAAAACUGAUGGCCCUAACAUCAGAGACGAUGACAGAGAUAUGUCUAGACCUGGACUGCUUCGACGAGGAGAGGAAACUGUACUCGGCAGAAUCACUGAAUGACCUCCACAAGAUGAACGUGUGCUCUGACCCCAAGGACCUGCUGAAACUCACAGAACAGCCAAUGAGCUCUCAGACCACACCCACUGCUGGGGAAAGAAGAGACUGCCUGGGUGGUGUGAUGCAGCUGGUAAAUGUACACAGUGCUGUUGGCAUCGAAGAGGAGCGCAUCAAGACUCGACACACCAGUGAUGUAGAGGAGGGCAGUAAAACAUCACACACUCACCCUCGACCCAGACUGUUCCUCAUCCUCUUCAUCCUCCUGACUUUGGCUCUGCUGCUGAUCCUGGUGCUGUCUGCCUACGCUGUCUUUCUCAUGGUUGAGACAACAUCUAGGAUGGGUGAGUUAGCAGGCGUUAGUGAGGUGGAGAGGACUUACCUGGAGGAGAUGAGACAGUGGAAGACUCUCCUUCAACAGUACCUGGACCUCAGCCAGAACCACUGCUCAUAGUGAGGAGGGAGCAACCCCCUAUCCACAUUGACAGGACCGCAGUGGAGAAGGUGGACAACUUAAAGUUCCCCGGCGUACACAUCACUGACAAACUGAAAUGGUCCACCCACACAAAUAGUCAGCAGUGCCUCUUCAACCUCAGGGGGCUGAGUGUGCCUUUGCACCUAAAACCCUCACAAACUUUUACAGAUGCACAAUUGAGAGCAUCCUGUCGGGCUGUAUCACCACCUGGUAUGGCAACUGCACCGGCCGCAACUGCAGGGCUCUCCAGAGGGUGAUGCGGUCUGCGCAUCACCUGGGGCAAACUACCUGCCCUCCAGGACACCUACAGCACCCGAUGUCACAGGAAGACCAAAAAGAUCAUCAAGGACAACAGCUACCCGAGAC